CGGAAAUAGCGCAGAGGUAGCGCGUCACCUUGCCAAGGUGGAUGUCGCGGGUUCGAAUCCCGUUUUCCG
Molecule: transfer RNA, 69 nt
Filed under: uncultured Treponema sp.
Lineage: Bacteria; Pseudomonadati; Spirochaetota; Spirochaetia; Treponematales; Treponemataceae
Rfam family: tRNA
About the family: Transfer RNA (tRNA) molecules are approximately 80 nucleotides in length. Their secondary structure includes four short double-helical elements and three loops (D, anti-codon, and T loops). Further hydrogen bonds mediate the characteristic L-shaped molecular structure. tRNAs have two regions of fundamental functional importance: the anti-codon, which is responsible for specific mRNA codon recognition, and the 3' end, to which the tRNAs corresponding amino acid is attached (by aminoacyl-tRNA synthetases). tRNAs cope with the degeneracy of the genetic code in two manners: having more than one tRNA (with a specific anti-codon) for a particular amino acid; and 'wobble' base-pairing, i.e. permitting non-standard base-pairing at the 3rd anti-codon position.
Source: RNAcentral